CUUAUGCAAAAGGAGUCUGCCAGUUAGGAAAAAAUCCCUUCCUCAAAUCCAUCAUACCCCUUCUUUAUGAUGUUCCCAAUGUUGGAUGUGCUGUUAUUUAGAUAGGAAGUACUGUGCAACUUUUCUGUUUACUCGUAAGAUCUGAAGGCUGGAAGUUGUGCUGCUUAUGACUGCAGAAAUGGAUUUCAGUUACUAUGGGAUGAAUCCGUAAAUGGGCUAGCAUCUUCUACUUGAGUUGCGGAUAUUGCUCUGCAGAGGCACAGAUACCAAGUUUGGCUGCAUGGAAACCACAAA
This is a long non-coding RNA of Zootoca vivipara (common lizard), 294 nucleotides long. RefSeq lists it as uncharacterized. The record is from RefSeq and is a predicted model, not a curated record. Lineage: Eukaryota; Metazoa; Chordata; Lepidosauria; Squamata; Lacertidae.